Molecule: non-coding RNA, 530 nt
Organism: Zootermopsis nevadensis
Lineage: Eukaryota; Metazoa; Arthropoda; Insecta; Blattodea; Termopsidae
Source: RefSeq, a predicted model, not a curated record
CAAGUGGCAUUCAACAGAAAUAUUCUCUUCACCUACACAUCCAGAAUUGUAAUGGUAUCAAGACUGCUUCUAAAUGUGGUUAGGGUACUCGUCUUUUAAUGUGUUCUUCAAACAGCCCAAAGCCAUCAACCUGACUGACCCCCAGAAGCAAUACAAUGAAAGUAAAAGAAUUAUCAUUUCACAAAGCGCAGAGGUAGGCCACAAAGUGGAUACUGGAUAAGGAAAUGCCCAACUUACGCAGAACUAGGCAACAUAAGAGACGUUCCAUAGGUACGAGAACUUAUGUGGAUGGCCAACAGGAGGCUAUGGGAAUGAAACAGCGACAGCUGGGUACAGCAACGUGAAAAAGAAACAUAUCAAAACACAGGAUGUCACUGCAAUAAAAACAAAAAAAAAUAGUGUUGGAUCCAGCAGACAGCUGAAAUGGUGUACAACAAAUAUAGGACAAUAUAUCAAAAACAUGUUCACAUGAAAUAAAACAGACCAUCAUUCUUUUACAAAUAGAGAUUUUAUCACUUACACAAACAUUU